GCGUCAUGUCUGAAAUGCAGGGUGAUGUUCUUUCUACAAAGUUGGAGGAAGAAAUCAGCACUUUGAAGGAACAGCUAAUGCUCAUAAUGUCCAAACUGGAGGAUCAGAGAUCCGUGGAGAAAGAGCUGUUGAAGUCUCUUGAACAGUGGAAAGAUGAAGAAAACGAAAGGCAAAAGGCAAAAAUGCAAGAAAUUAAACAGAUGUUGCUUAAGGAAUUUAAUAAGCUGACCGAUAUGACUGACCUUCUAAACGAUUUCCUAUAUCACCUGCACAGCCUGCACUCCAGUGCCUAUAUUAAGGAUGAAAACAAGCGAAAACUAGCAGAUAAACUGGACAGAAAGCUGCAAAAACAGAAGGAAUGGAUACUGUCUCAAAGAGAGCAGAUCGAGACGCUUACUUCAAAUCCACCAGAGCACAGAGAAAAGAAAGUGGAGGUAAAAAAACAGAAAUGUGCUGUGAGGAGAAAUCUCAUGAAGGAGCUGAGCCUGUCACUGCAGGCUCUUGUUGAGGAGCUGGAAGAUAUUUGCAUGGAACUUUUCUCUGCUCAAGAAAAGAAAGUUGGAGUGACAAAACAGAGCCUCAAAAGCCAUUUGAGAAGAAACCGCAUCAUAAAGGAGCUUUGGAAGUUAUUGGCCCAAGAUUUUUCUGAGGACCUGGAAGACUUCUGGACAGAACUUUUCUAUGUUUUGCAGAAGAAGGUGGAGAUAAAAAAACAGAUGCCAAAAACUCUCGGUUGGAAAAGCACUGUUAUAAAGGAGCUUGGGCCAUUGUUAUUGCAGGCUCUUGUUGAGGAGCUGGAAGACUUGAUCGUGAAGGUUUUCUACAUUACAGAAAAUAAAGUUGAGGAGAAAAAACAGAAGGCAGAAAGGUCCUUUAGCAGAACUCCCACCCUGAAGGAACUGGGAUCAGUGUUGCUGAGGACUCUUCUUGAGGAACUGGAAGACUUCUGUAUGAAAGUUUUCUGUGCUACCGAAAAGAACGCAGAGGAGAAAAAACAAACACCAAAAAGUCCCUUGAGGAGAAGCCCUGUCGUACAGGAGUUGCAGCCGUUCAGCUUGGAGGAGAGAUCCAAGGAGGAGCUUGUAGAAAGGUCCAGAGCGGCGGAAAUCAGCAUGACUGAGUUUGUUGCUUUGGCUGCUGAUAGCGAUACUGAGUGGACAGAUAUGAGUGACAUGGAGAACAACCAACAGCAGGAGCAGCUCAACAGGCAUUCCACCCAGAAGAAAGAGAAGGCUUCUCAAGGUGGACUGAUCAAAAAUUUGCAGCACCUUGAGAGGCUGUUUACAGAGCGAGCCUUAAAGAAGCCGAUGGAAAGAGACUUAUCUCACAAGAGAAAUGUGUGGCAGAAACCUGAGGAUUCUGAGAAGGAUGACAGUGAUGACAAUGAUGACAAUGAUGAAAAUGACUAUGAUUACUCAGAUUCUUGCUCUUUAGAGGACAACCCUUCACUAAGCAAACCUGCUGCUGUGAAAAACAGUUUGGAUUCCAUGAGCACCAGUGUCUGGGCUUCUUCAACAGGAAAGAUGCAAACACUUUGGCCUUAGAGUUUAGCUACCUUAUUAAAUGUUAUAUUUUUUGAGUGGACAAAAAUAACUACCAAACACCCCCCCCAUAGACCUCCUCCCAUACCAGACCAUACAGAAUCCUUAGUAAUGUUUUUGUACUAAUGUUGCUCGUAAAUUGUAAUUCCUGUAUAUCACUGGAUGUAAUGGCAAUAGUAGUAACACAAACAACUAGCAAAAUUAAAAUUACACCUUUAAAUUACAAUAUCAUACGCCUAGCCUAAAUGUAUUUACAUUUACAUAGUUUAAUGUGGUUAAAGUGAAAAUUCAGUAUUAGAAGAAUAGAAUUUGAAGUAAAAACGUUUAAGAACUACAUCAGAAUUAAGUUUAUUUUAACGUUAAAGUUUACAGUUACAUGAGAUACAUUAAUGGAUUAGGUUUAAAAAAUAAGCAAUAAGAAAAUGUAAAGUGUAAAUCUAUUGGACACAUAAGUUCUAUGAAAUGUAAAUUUUAAUGUGUCACUAUUUAAAAUGAAAAAAAAAACUGAAUUUAAGAUUUAUUAUAUAUCUAAACAUGUAUCAAGAAACAUAGCAUGUCCCCCCACUUCAUGUUUAAGCUGUCAAUUUCUCUAGUUAUCAAAGAGUUAUAUAAACAAUAAUUCUUAUACAUGUAAGUUUAUUAUUUUAAUCAUAGAAUAAUAUGUGAUACAUUUAAACAAUUUACAACUAUAUUUAAUAUUUCACAGAUUAUAUGAAUACUAACAACAAAAUUGUUUAGUAAAAUCUUUUGACAUUGAAUUACAACAUUAUUAGUUACGACAUUAUUAGUAACUUAGUGGAAGCCUAUUUUGAUUUUACUCCUUUUUCUUUAAUUACUGCUUCAUUCUCAAAAGUUAUUGAUAUAGGUUCAGAAAUAGUAAUUACCACAAUACUGUAGCUAAAACAUAAGAAAAUGUGACAAAACAGUGCGUGCUUGUAGCGCGUGCGUGCGAAACCACGUGAUUUGAAAUGUCAUCGUAAUUAGGUUCAAAAAGUAAAUGUGCAUAGAGUUUUAUCCUUGUACGUACUGAUACAUGUAAGCUGGGCUUAAUUUCAAAAAAUGCUUUUAUUGGUAUGACUAACUACAGGGAUGUUUUUUUUAUAAAAAAUAAUAGAUCUCUGCUGAAACACUGUGCAAAAAUUUUAUAGACAGUAAUUUUGGUGUCACCCCCUUUGGUGUCACCCAAUGCAGUCCGCAGACCCUGCACCCCCCCAAUGAUGACACUGCAAACACCUUUUAGGGGCAGCAAAUAGUAUAGAGGUUAAGCCUUUUAAUGAAAAGUUACCAGUUCAAGCCAUACUAUGGUGAUUUUACCCUUGAGCAAGGUACUUAACCCCAAAUUGCUCCAGUAAAUAUUACAGCUGUAUAAAUACGUGAAUUGUAUGUUUCUUUGGAUGCAAAAAGUACUUUGAUAAUUAUCGAAGUGCACAGUUUUAGUACUGUACCAGAAUCUUAUUUGGCUUCUGAUUUGGUUGUGCGCCUAUCAGGCAUUAUAAUUAACUUUAUACUUUUUUUCCAAAGGUAUUAAUAAAGUGAAGGCACACUGCA
Scleropages formosus (Asian bonytongue) is the source of this 3089-nucleotide long non-coding RNA. NCBI's taxonomy places the organism in Eukaryota, Metazoa, Chordata, Actinopteri, Osteoglossiformes, Osteoglossidae. The record is from Ensembl.